Molecule: ribosomal RNA, 496 nt
Filed under: uncultured bacterium
Lineage: Bacteria
Description: partial 16S ribosomal RNA
Rfam family: Bacterial small subunit ribosomal RNA
Source: RNAcentral
GAUGAACGCUGGCGGCGUGCCUAAUACAUGCAAGUCGAGCGAACAGACGAGGAGCUUGCUCCUCUGACGUUAGCGGCGGACGGGUGAGUAACACGUGGAUAACCUACCUAUAAGACUGGGAUAACUUCGGGAAACCGGAGCUAAUACCGGAUAAUAUAUUGAACCGCAUGGUUCAAUAGUGAAAGACGGUUUUGCUGUCACUUAUAGAUGGAUCCGCGCCGCAUUAGCUAGUUGGUAAGGUAACGGCUUACCAAGGCAACGAUGCGUAGCCGACCUGAGAGGGUGAUCGGCCACACUGGAACUGAGACACGGUCCAGACUCCAACGGGAGGAAGCAGUAGGGAAUCUUCCGCAAUGGGCGAAAGCCUGACGGAGCAACGCCGCGUGAGUGAUGAAGGUCUUCGGAUCGUAAAACGCUGUUAUUAGGGAAGAACAAAUGUGUAAGUAACUAUGCACGUCUUGACGGUACCUAAUCAGAAAGCCACGGCUAACUACGU